AACGAACGCUGGCGGCAUGCCUAACACAUGCAAGUCGAACGAGACCUUCGGGUCUAGUGGCGCACGGGUGCGUAACGCGUGGGAACCUUCCCUUAGGUUCGGAAUAACUCCCCGCAAGGGGUGCUAAUACCGGAUAAUGUCUUCGGCCCAAUGAUUUAUCGCCUUUGGAUGGGCCCGCGUUGGAUUAGCUAGUUGGUAGGGUAAAAGCCUACCAAGGCGACGAUCCAUAGCUGGUCUGAGAGGAUGAUCAGCCACACUGGGACUGAGACACGGCCCAGACUCCAACGGGAGGCAGCAGUGGGGAAUAUUGGACAAUGGGCGAAAGCCUGAUCCAGCAAUGCCGCGUGAGUGAGGAAGGCCUUAGGGUUGUAAAGCUCUGUUACCCGGGAUGAUAAUGACAGUACCGGGAGAAUAAGCUCCGGCUAACUCCGUG
RNAcentral lists this ribosomal RNA (433 nucleotides) under uncultured bacterium. RNAcentral's name for it is "partial 16S ribosomal RNA". It matches the Rfam family "Bacterial small subunit ribosomal RNA", at positions 29 to 507 of the family's 1533-position model. The record is from RNAcentral.